CCUGGGCCAAAAUCAGCACAACCCCCUUGAGCACUGAGCCACAUGAGCAAAAGAUGCUUGUUUUCCUGGAGAUUCGGUGCUUGGUUGCUGCACGGCACCAUGGUGACUGUGGACAACCCAUGAGGUGUGGGAGAUCAUCAUCCCAAGGAACAGCCAAUGGAGCAGCAACAUUAAGCCACAGUGCGGGAGUGCCUCGUUGAGAAUGGGAGACAAGUAGACAGAAGGAGCCUGGAUCCCCAGUGGUGCAGAACUGAUAGAACACUUGGUCCAUGUGGCUCAGACUUUGGAGAAAACUGUGUAACACCCACAGUCACUGAAUAUGAGCUGCAUGCAGAAUGGACACAACUUUAGGUGGUCUUAUUGUCACUUUUGGAAAUAAUCGAAGAAUGCUACAUGUCUGGAAGGAAGCAGCCAACAUGGUACCCUAACCAGAGCAACAGGACACUGUGUCUUCUGAAGUGGAGAUCUGAAUUGCUGACAGUGCUUCCUUCUGAUUGGAAUGGUGGGAACAUUAAUUAAAAGCCUCAAAGAAAAAUGUACUUUAAAAAGAGAAGUCUUGGAGAAGAUGGAGAAAGAGCCACCCGACACAGUGUAACCUUCUCACACAUUCAGUUCUAUUUCCAAAUUCUCGUCGACUCCAGUCUCAGCUUGCCAUCAAACAGGAAAUCCUUAUUAAGGACCAAGGUCCCCAGGUUCCCAGUAUUGAAAUAUCUGGUUUACCGUCUUUCUUUGCCUGAUGAGAAACCUGCUAUCCAUGAAAGUUAAAACCUUGCUACACUGAAAACAAAGGCUUAAAUGAGGUUAUUGUUACAAUAAAGCUUUGACUUUGGGAAAAAUGAUAUUUUAUAGGAUUAGCAAUACAAUAGAAGGAACGUGGUCCCUGAUCAACUUUUUGUAAAGGUGUGACUCAGUUUGAAAGACUGGCUACUGCCUUCUGUGAGAAAGAAGUCUGACAGAAAGCCAGUAGGAAAAUACCAAGAAGUGUGAGAAGCACACAGGAAAACUUCAAAACAUGCUAAACAUCAUGGAGGCCUGGAUGCAGAACAGAAAUGUAAAAUUGUGAAAGGCCCAGAAAUUCACUCUUACAGUUUGAAUUUUAAGAAAGUAACACUUAAAAAAUUCAAGAAUCAAACUUUCAACAUAAUACCUAUGAGAAAGUCUUCUUUAAAACAUAACAUUGGCUGGGAAAUGAUUUCAAAGGCAAAGGUUAUACCUGAAGUCAAACAACGCAAGCAUGUCAUACAUGACAUCCAUCUUUGGCCCUGGGACAUCAGUGUUCCUGAUUGUUGGAUCUGCAGACAGAGAGUGGAGCCCAGCCCAACUGCUCCAGUGGUUCUCAGCUCCCAGGCAUGGACUGGAAUUACUCCACCAGGUUCUGUGGGCCUUCAGAUUGGAAAUGAAAAUUUCUGCUUCAUUAAAUGGCCAAAGCAAUGUAACCAUGGACUGAAAUCUCUGAAACAGUGAGCCAAAAUAAAAAUUUCAACAAGAUGUUCCCCCAAAGCCUCAUGAGGACAUAGAUGGAUCUUUUUCAGAGGUGGCUGGAUCUAGAGCAUGG
Molecule: long non-coding RNA, 1555 nt
Organism: Heterocephalus glaber (naked mole-rat)
Lineage: Eukaryota; Metazoa; Chordata; Mammalia; Rodentia; Bathyergidae
Source: Ensembl